GCCGGUUUCCCUAGAUGAUCUUCACCGGUUGUCCUGGGUGACCGGCACGUUUACUUUGAAAAAAUUAGAGUGCUCAAAGCAGGCGUGUAGCCUGAAUAAUGGUGCAUGGAAUAAUGGAAUAGGACUUCGUUUCUAUUUUGUUGGUUUUCGGAACACGAGGUAAUGAUUAAGAGGGACAGACGGGGGCAUUCGUAUUGCGACGCUAGAGGUGAAAUUCUUGGACCGUCGCAAGACGAACUACUGCGAAAGCAUUUGCCAAGAAUGUUUUCAUUGAUCAAGAACGAAAGUUAGAGGUUCGAAGGCGAUCAGAUACCGCCCUAGUUCUAACCAUAAACGAUGCCAACCAGCGAUCCGCCUGAGUUCCUCAAAUGACUCGGCGGGCAGCUUCCGGGAAACCAAAGUGUUUGGGUUCCGGGGGAAGUAUGGUUGCAAAGCUGAAACUUAAAGGAAUUGACGGAAGGGCACCACCAGGAGUGGAGCCUGCGGCUUAAUUUGACUCAACACGGGAAAACUUACCCGGCCCGGACACUGGAAGGAUUGACAGAUUAAGAGCUCUUUCUUGAUUCAGUGGGUGGUGGUGCAUGGCCGUUCUUAGUUGGUGGAGCGAUUUGUCUGGUUAAUUCCGAUAACGAACGAGACUCUAGCCUACUAAAUAGGCGUCCCGAUCACUUCUGUCGGGCGUUCUUCUUAGAGGGACAAGUGGCGUUUAGCCGCACGAGACAGAGCAAUAACAGGUCUGUGAUGCCCUUAGAUGUCCGGGGCCGCACGCGCGCUACACUGAAGGAAUCAGCGUGUGCUUUCCCUGUCCGGUAGGACUGGGUAACCCGUUCAACCUCCUUCGUGAUAGGGAUAGGGGCUUGUAAUUGUUCCCCUUGAACGAGGAAUUCCCAGUAAGCACGAGUCAUAAGCUCGUGUUGAUUACGUCCCUGCCCUUUGUCCACACCGCCCGUCGCUACUACCGAUUGAAUGAUUUAGUGAGGUCUUCGGACUGGCGCUCGGAGCGGCCGCAAGGUCGCGCCGG
RNAcentral lists this ribosomal RNA (1021 nucleotides) under Monocentropus balfouri. RNAcentral describes it as "SSU rRNA". It matches the Rfam family "Eukaryotic small subunit ribosomal RNA", at positions 702 to 1743 of the family's 1831-position model. The record is from RNAcentral. Lineage: Eukaryota; Metazoa; Arthropoda; Arachnida; Araneae; Theraphosidae.